CUCUCGGUAGCCAAGUUGGUUUAAGGCGCAAGACUGUAAUAUGUGCUACACAAUACGAUGUGUGGUUGUAAAGUAAUCUUGAGAUCGGGCGUUCGACUCGCCCCCGAGAGA
RNAcentral lists this transfer RNA (111 nucleotides) under Hanseniaspora osmophila. RNAcentral describes it as "tRNA-Tyr". It matches the Rfam family "tRNA". From Rfam's summary of the family: Transfer RNA (tRNA) molecules are approximately 80 nucleotides in length. Lineage: Eukaryota; Fungi; Ascomycota; Saccharomycetes; Saccharomycodales; Saccharomycodaceae. The record is from RNAcentral.